CCCCGCCAUAGCAAACUCCGAAUACCGAAGAGUGCAAUCACGGGAGACAGACAUCGGGUGCUAACGUCCGGUGUCAAGAGGGAAACAACCCAGACCGCCAGCUAAGGUCCCUAAAUAUUGCUAAGUGGGAAACGAAGUGGGAAGGCUAAAACAGUCAGGAGGUUGGCUUAGAAGCAGCCACCCUUUAAAGAAAGCGUAAUAGCUCACUGAUCGAGUCGUCCUGCGCGGAAGAUGUAACGGGGCUAAGCAAUAUACCGAAGCUGCGGAUGCACGUAAGUGCAUGGUAGGAGAGCGUUCUGUAAGCCUGUGAAGGUGUCUUGUAAAGGAUGCUGGAGGUAUCAGAAGUGCGAAUGCUGACAUGAGUAGCGAUAAAGGGGGUGAAAGGCCCCCUCGCCGUAAGCCCAAGGUUUCCUACGCAACGUUCAUCGGCGUAGGGUGAGUCGGCCCCUAAGGCGAGGCAGAGAUGCGUAGCUGAUGGGAAGCAGGUUAAUAUUCCUGCACCGUCGUAUGAUGCGAUGGGGGGACGGAUCGCGGAAGGUUGUCCGGGUGUUGGAUGUCCCGGUCCCUGCAUUGGAGAUGGCACUUAGGCAAAUCCGGGUGCGUGAUUCAAGGGUGUGGGGCGAGCGACUUUAGGUCGCGAAGCAAUUGGAAGUGGUUCCAAGAAAAGCCUCUAAGCUUCAGUCAUACGAGACCGUACCGCAAACCGACACAGGUGGGCGAGAUGAGUAUUCUAAGGCGCUUGAGAGAACUCGGGAGAAGGAACUCGGCAAAUUGGUACCGUAACUUCGGGAUAAGGUACGCCCUUGUAGUUUGACUGGCUCGCGCCAGAAGGACGAAGGGGUUGCAAUAAAAUGGUGGCUGCGACUGUUUAAUAAAAACACAGCACUCUGCAAACACGAAAGUGGACGUAUAGGGUGUGACGCCUGCCCGGUGCCGGAAGAUUAAAUGAUGGGGUGCAAGCUCUUGAUUGAAGUCCCGGUAAACGGCGGCCGUAACUAUAACGGUCCUAAGGUAGCGAAAUUCCUUGUCGGGUAAGUUCCGACCUGCACGAAUGGCGUAACGAUGGCCACACUGUCUCCUCCCGAGACUCAGCGAAGUUGAAGUGUUUGUGAUGAUGCAAUCUCCCCGCGGCUAGACGGAAAGACCCCAUGAACCUUUACUGUAGCUUUGCAUUGGACUUUGAACCGAUCUGUGUAGGAUAGGUGGGAGGCUUUGAAACCGGGACGCUAGUUUCGGUGGAGCCGUCCUUGAAAUACCACCCUGGUUUGUUUGAGGUUCUAACCUUGGCCCGUGAAUCCGGGUCGGGGACAGUGCAUGGUAGGCAGUUUGACUGGGGCGGUCUCCUCCCAAAGUGUAACGGAGGAGUUCGAAGGUACGCUUGGUACGGUCGGACAUCGUACCUAAAGUGCAAUGGCAAAAGCGUGCUUAACUGCGAGACCGACAAGUCGAGCAGGUGCGAAAGCAGGACAUAGUGAUCCGGUGGUUCUGUAUGGAAGGGCCAUCGCUCAACGGAUAAAAGGUACUCUGGGGAUAACAGGCUGAUACCGCCCAAGAGUUCAUAUCGACGGCGGUGUUUGGCACCUCGAUGUCGGCUCAUCUCAUCCUGGGGCUGUAGCCGGUCCCAAGGGUAUGGCUGUUCGCCAUUUAAAGAGGUACGUGAGCUGGGUUUAAAACGUCGUGAGACAGUUUGGUCCCUAUCUGCCGUGGGCGUUGGAAUCUUGACGGGGGCUGCUCCUAGUACGAGAGGACCGGAGUGGACGUACCGCUGGUGUACCUGUUGUCUCGCCAGAGGCAUCGCAGGGUAGCUAUGUACGGAAGAGAUAACCGCUGAAAGCAUCUAAGCGGGAAACUUGCCUGAAGAUGAGGAUUCCCUGGAGACUUGAUCUCCCUGAAGGGUCGUUCGAGACCAGGACGUUGAUAGGCUGGGUGUGGAAGCGCAGUAAUGCGUUCAGCUAACCAGUACUAAUUGCCCGUGCGGCUUGAUC
Molecule: ribosomal RNA, 1985 nt
Filed under: Ralstonia sp. UNC404CL21Col
Lineage: Bacteria; Pseudomonadati; Pseudomonadota; Betaproteobacteria; Burkholderiales; Burkholderiaceae
Description: bacterial LSU rRNA
Rfam family: Bacterial large subunit ribosomal RNA
Source: RNAcentral